AAGUCAGUGUUGCAAGCUAGUGAUAUAAUAAAUGAUGCAAACAUUGGUAGUCCAUGGACUACAAGACAAUAAAGUUUUAACCGGCCAUGCAUUUCUGCCGCACUGAAAGUUUGACCCACAAGUAGAGACUUUUGAAGAAUGCCAAAAAGCAACCGCACCACUUAUUCAAGUACCGUUGCAGAAAAUUAACAAAGGUUUCUGCCAUUUUACUUGUGACCAGACAAUGAGGUCAGACAUGCGCAUUGAAAUUUCAGUACAUGUGAUCCCGACUUUGCUCCUGUGAAUCCAUCUGGUACUUGGUGUCGCAUUCGAGCGCAAGAGAUGCCUCGAU
Molecule: long non-coding RNA, 331 nt
Filed under: Elaeis guineensis (African oil palm)
Lineage: Eukaryota; Viridiplantae; Streptophyta; Magnoliopsida; Arecales; Arecaceae
Description: long non-coding RNA (EGUI_LNC007695)
Source: RNAcentral